This 451-nucleotide ribosomal RNA is filed under the name uncultured bacterium. RNAcentral describes it as "partial 16S ribosomal RNA". It matches the Rfam family "Bacterial small subunit ribosomal RNA", at positions 28 to 507 of the family's 1533-position model. The record is from RNAcentral.
GAUGAACGCUGGCGGCGUGCCUAACACAUGCAAGUCGAGCGGCAGCGCGGGGUGCUUGCACCCUGUCGGCGAGCGGCGGACGGCUGAGUAGCGCGUGGGAACGUGCCCCAAAGUGAGGAAUAACUACCCGAAAGGGUAGCUAAUACCGCAUAUUAUCUUCGGAUCAAAGGAUUUAUCCGCUUUGGGAGCGGCUCGCGUCGGAUUAGGUAGUUGGUGAGGUAAUGGCUCACCAAGCCGACGAUCCGUAGCUGGUCUGAGAGGAUGACCAGCCAGACUGGAACUGAGACACGGUCCAGAAUCCUACGGGAGGCAGCAGUGAGGAAUCUUCCACAAUGGGCGAAAGCCUGAUGGAGCAACGCCGCGUGCAGGACGAAGGCCUUCGGGUUGUAAACUGCUUUUAUAAGUGAGGAAUAUGACGGUAACUUAUGAAUAAGGAUCGGCUAACUACGUG